GUGCUCACUUCAGCAGCAUUGACACUAAAGCUGGAGUCAGCAGAGAAGAUUUGCACGGCCCUGAGUGAGGACGGCAUGCACGUUUGUGAAGCACAUGCCAUGAUU
Molecule: small nuclear RNA, 105 nt
Filed under: Cavia aperea (Brazilian guinea pig)
Lineage: Eukaryota; Metazoa; Chordata; Mammalia; Rodentia; Caviidae
Source: RNAcentral